UUAGAGUUUGAUCCUGGCUCAAGAUGAACGCUAGCGACAGGCUUAACACAUGCAAGUCGAGGGGCAGCACAGGUAGCAAUACCGGGUGGCGACCGGCGCACGGGUGAGUAACGCGUAUGCAACUUACCUAUCAGAGGGGGAUAACCCGGCGAAAGUCGGACUAAUACCGCAUGAAGCAGGGGCCCCGCAUGGGGAUAUUUGCUAAAGAUUCAUCGCUGAUAGAUAGGCAUGCGUUCCAUUAGGCAGUUGGCGGGGUAACGGCCCACCAAGCCGACGAUGGAUAGGGGUUCUGAGAGGAAGGUCCCCCACAUUGGUACUGAGACACGGACCAAACUCCUACGGGAGGCAGCAGUGAGGAAUAUUGGUCAAUGGCCGAGAGGCUGAACCAGCCAAGUCGCGUGAGGGAUGAAGGUUCUAUGGAUCGUAAACCUCUUUUAUAAGGGAAUAAAGUGCGGGACGUGUCCCGUUUUGUAUGUACCUUAUGAAUAAGGAUCGGCUAACUCCGUGCCAGCAGCCGCGGUAAUACGGAGGAUCCGAGCGUUAUCCGGAUUUAUUGGGUUUAAAGGGUGCGUAGGCGGCCUUUUAAGUCAGCGGUGAAAGUCUGUGGCUCAACCAUAGAAUUGCCGUUGAAACUGGGGGGCUUGAGUAUGUUUGAGGCAGGCGGAAUGCGUGGUGUAGCGGUGAAGUGCAUAGAUAUCACGCAGAACCCCGAUUGCGAAGGCAGCCUGCCAAGCCAUGACUGACGCUGAUGCACGAAAGCGUGGGGAUCAAAG
Molecule: ribosomal RNA, 773 nt
Filed under: uncultured bacterium
Lineage: Bacteria
Description: bacterial SSU rRNA
Rfam family: Bacterial small subunit ribosomal RNA
Source: RNAcentral